UCUUGGGAGCAGGCCAAGAUGGGUGUGUGGGUGAGGGGAGCAAGGAUGGCUAGAUGCUUGACUUCUGUUUGUGGACUUGAGACUACUCCCUAGAAAAGAGGAAACUUCCAUUUCCCUAGUGGCCUAUCACUGAGGAAACCCAUUUCUUCAUCUUCAAAUUUCAUUAGGGUGAGAUUCUGGUCCUGUGGUUCCAGGCAUCACAGGCAGCUACCCUGCUGGGAUAGGAUGGAGUCUCUUCUGUCCUUUUUAUUACCAAAGUUCCUACUUCCAGAUUUGAAUAUGCAACUAAGUUUUGACUCAGAGAUUCAGAGAACUGAUUUAUUAUUUAUUCCUGUGAGUCAAAGGAAAUGCAAAAGAAAAAAGAAAAGAAGAAAGAAAGAAAAGCAAGCAAGGAAAAACACAGUAAAAGAAAGAAAGGGAAAAGCUGAGAGCAGGAAGACAAGAAGUAGCACUCGAUGGGGGCCCAGACUUCCUUCAGUUGACUCUGAUGGAAACCAACCACACCACUUUUGAGGACCCCUCCUGCAACACUGGCUAAAUUGAAACCACCCUGAACUAGGGCAGGGCAGCUGUGGAAUACAGAUCUGAGGUCAA
This is a long non-coding RNA of Canis lupus familiaris (dog), 594 nucleotides long. RefSeq lists it as uncharacterized. The record is from RefSeq and is a predicted model, not a curated record. The transcript has 3 exons. NCBI's taxonomy places the organism in Eukaryota, Metazoa, Chordata, Mammalia, Carnivora, Canidae.